Molecule: small RNA, 250 nt
Filed under: Pan troglodytes (chimpanzee)
Lineage: Eukaryota; Metazoa; Chordata; Mammalia; Primates; Hominidae
Description: processed transcript
Source: RNAcentral
UUUUCCUAUACGGCCACCGAAGCCAGAAGGCUUUAUCUGCAAAGGAAGGCAUUUCCCAGUGGUUUCCGAAAUACUUCCUAACUGCCUUUUUGCCAAGCACUAUUCUGCAGUGCUGUGGGAGAGUCAAAGAUGAGUUUCUUCUCCUUACCCCAGAAGCUUCCAGCCAGUGAGGAGACUGACGGUCCCAUAAAACUAAGCACAAGCCAGGGUAUGGGAGCCAGGGAACCUUCAAUAAAGCAAUUAAUCGGUG